This 67-nucleotide transfer RNA is filed under the name Chlamydosaurus kingii (frilled dragon). RNAcentral describes it as "tRNA-Val". Lineage: Eukaryota; Metazoa; Chordata; Lepidosauria; Squamata; Agamidae. The record is from RNAcentral.
CAGAAAGUAACUUACACUUAAAGUAUCCGUUUAACAAUCGGAAGAUGCCACCCUACAGCCUUUCUGA